This 30-nucleotide non-coding RNA is filed under the name Rattus norvegicus (Norway rat). The record is from RNAcentral. Lineage: Eukaryota; Metazoa; Chordata; Mammalia; Rodentia; Muridae.
UGAUAGGUGAAAUGGGAGUACAAGAUUUCU